CCCCGCCACACACACUCCCUUUUGUGCCGCGGGGGGUGGUUAGAUCUGCUCAGCCAUCUUCCGUAGCCUCAACCUUGCCUUCAUCUGGAGUUCCCAUGCCAGCACAUCUGGGAACAGCAAUUGCAGGAAAGUCUUGCUUUAGCCUUCCUUUCCCUGGGGUCAGAAAAAAAAUAUGCUUAGCACAGACAGAAUCCUUGGAAACGCUAUUUAUCAACCUCUACUAAGUAUAUGCAAUCAGAUUUUUUUCUCAAUUAUUUAUAACUUGGCCACAUUUGAGCAUUAUACCCCUCCACACACAAAGAUGCACAACAAAAGGCCUAUCCAUCACGCACAGACUAUACAUUGCCAGGUUUCACUUCCUUGCCUCAAGUCAUCUUCCUGCUAGAGAUUAUUGACAAAACUGUUGUAAUAAUCACUGGUAAAAAGUAUGAUUGGCAAAUAAUGUAUUUUCUGCUGACUUUAUUAUUGGAAACAACUGGACAAUUUAUGCUGACAUUCUUUUGGAAACCAGGCAUGGAAAAUUUCAGCCCCAACAGUUAAAUUUUGGAAGAGUUAUGAACAACUGAAAUGAAGGGUUUCUAAUGGAAAGUGUUUGGCAGCAUGGACUACAAAAAGCCUUAGCUAUUCAGUCUGUAAUUGCUUUUCUCAAUUUGGGAGUUGCAAAUCACCUCCACCCCUAAUUCCCUCAAGAGUCCCAGUCUCUGGUGUGACCCAGGAAUUUUUAUCUUUUGAAAUAAAACAUGCGGAUAAAGGGGUUGAACAGCUUUAGUCUAUAUAGUAUGUGCACAAAAACCACAUAACUGAAAACAUGUACAGAAACAUACGAUAAAAAACAAGUACAAGUGCAUUUUAUGUACAAUGUACAUAGUGACUGUUACGAAAUUUUUCAUCUUAUUUAUAGCUCUUGAACAAAUAGGAAUAGCAAAUAAAGUUAUUUUUCUUACUUCUCCAUCAUAUGUAAUUGGAAUAGUUCAUAACUUCUAGUUACAGAAUCAGUGUAAGGUAUUUACAGUGACACACUGUUGUUCUGUUUUUUUUUUUUUUUAUUUACGUGGGUAGGAUGUGAGAAAGAUGCAGACUGUAGUAUUGUAUUAACAUCAGUCCUGUCCUCAAAUAAAAAUAUGUUCGGGCAAAUAAUUUAUAGAGAGUAUAGGUGGAGUAUUAGGUAAUCAUGGUACAAAUGCUGUUUCUUUGGCUUUGUUCAAAGAAAUCCCAAGUGCAUCAAUACCACAACUUAUUUUAUAAGCUUCUAAUUCUGGUUGAAUGUGCUAAAAAAAACCCCAAAGGGUUCAGUCUUUUGAAGUGUUUCUUCAGCUUCAGGUAAAGACAAUACUUUGUAGAAUCAGACCAGGAAAUCUUUUAACAGCAUGAGGUUAAAAAUGUACGUAUUUUUACAUCUUUGGGAAUUGUCAGUCAUUUUGUACCUGUUUAUUUCACAGUCAGAUUCCAAUUACAACCUGCUGUUAGGAAACCUGGCAAUAGAAGCUGGAAAAUACAGCAUGGAAGACAUUAUUAUAUACUGAGGGAUGACCCAGUGAACUCCUGUGACUGAGAAGAUUACACCAGUAUGUUGCAGAAAACAGAUUUGUGCUAUGAGCACAUUCAUUCUUUGACUGUAUGUGUCAUGGUAAAAUAAAAAAGUCAGUUUGUUAUGAUAGCACAAAAUUGAUUGGACAUGACAAAACUAUGACAGCCACCAUCCUGAGGGAUGUUUUACCGAUGAGCAAUCCAAAUCAGGAGGUAACAAGGCUCUUAUGACAGGAUACAAAAAAGGAACUUGCAUGUUAAAACAAAAUCUCCUUUUUUUCUCCUUUUCUCUUUCUGUUGCUCAUUUUUAAGCCUUUUGGAUGACUUUUCACUGUGUUUCAGUAAUCUUUAAGAAUUCAAACAACUUUUUUAGCCCAAAUGAACAACUUUUAAGAUAGCUAUUUUUCCUAGCAAGACCACAUCCACUCUAAAUAGAAACAGAUUAUUUAGAAUUUAUAAUGUAAUAUUGUUUCUCUGAGUCAUCAUAAUGAAUCCACAUUAGUUUAUUAUCACUUAUGUUCAGCCCCAACGCAUUAUCUAAACGAUGUUAGGUAGCUUGUGUAUCUGGAUGUUAAAGUCUUAAAAAUGUUAGCUGCUCCUCUGAUUUAGAACUUGAAUGGACAAAAUGGUCCUUAUAAUGAGUAUUGGUUUAUGAGGAGAGAGACAAAAUCUUAGGCAAGACAUUAAAACAGCUUAGGACAAUAGAAGCACACUGAAAAACUGUAAAAUCCAAAUGUAUUUCAAGCUGUGUUGAAGCACUUAUGGCAGUACUGACUCCGGUCUGCUCAGAUUUGUGCACCUCU
Dromaius novaehollandiae (emu) is the source of this 2330-nucleotide long non-coding RNA. RefSeq lists it as uncharacterized. The transcript is spliced from 2 exons. The record is from RefSeq and is a predicted model, not a curated record. NCBI's taxonomy places the organism in Eukaryota, Metazoa, Chordata, Aves, Casuariiformes, Dromaiidae.